UCCUGGUUAACCCAGGCAGUCUCAUUAGAGUGCCCACCUAAAAUGCUGGCAACUAAUGAUAAGGGUUGCGCUCGUUGCUGGACUUAACCAAACACCUCACGGCACGAGCUGACGACAGCCAUGCAGCACCUGUGUAAAGGCCCCGAAGGGAGAUGUUAUUUCUAACACUGUCCUCUACAUGUCAAGUCUGGGUAAGGUUCUUCGCGUUGCAUCGAAUUAAACCACAUGCUCCACUGCUUGUGCGGGUCCCCGUCAAUUCUUUUGAGUUUCACCCUUGCGAGUGUACUCCCCAGGCGGUAUACUUAACGCGUUCGCUUCGGCACAACUAGGGUUGAUUCCAGUUACACCAAGUAUACAUAGUUUACGGCAAGGACUAC
Molecule: unclassified non-coding RNA, 377 nt
Filed under: uncultured Parachlamydiaceae bacterium
Lineage: Bacteria; Pseudomonadati; Chlamydiota; Chlamydiia; Parachlamydiales; Parachlamydiaceae
Description: contains 16S-23S intergenic spacer region
Source: RNAcentral